GCUCUGGUGGCCUAGUGGUUAGAGCAUCCGCACCAGAUGCGGGAGGUCGUGGGUUCGAACCCCAGCCGAGUCCU
Potamilus streckersoni is the source of this 74-nucleotide non-coding RNA. The record is from the annotation of a GenBank genome assembly. NCBI's taxonomy places the organism in Eukaryota, Metazoa, Mollusca, Bivalvia, Unionida, Unionidae.